This 253-nucleotide ribosomal RNA is filed under the name uncultured bacterium. RNAcentral's name for it is "partial 16S ribosomal RNA". It matches the Rfam family "Bacterial small subunit ribosomal RNA", at positions 524 to 776 of the family's 1533-position model. The record is from RNAcentral.
UACGUAGGUGGCAAGCGUUGUCCGGAUUUACUGGGCGUAAAGAGCGCGCAGGCGGUCCUUCAAGUCGAAUGUGAAAUCCCCCGGCUCAACUGGGGAGGGUCAUUCGAUACUGAUGGACUCGAAGGCAGGAGAGGGAAGCGGAAUUCCCGGUGUAGUGGUGAAAUGCGUAGAUAUCGGGAGGAACACCAGUGGCGAAGGCGGCUUCCUGGCCUGUUCUUGACGCUGAGGCGCGAAAGCUAGGGGAGCAAACGGG